This 253-nucleotide unclassified non-coding RNA is filed under the name uncultured Alphaproteobacteria bacterium. Its description in RNAcentral is "contains 16S-23S intergenic spacer region". It matches the Rfam family "Bacterial small subunit ribosomal RNA", at positions 524 to 776 of the family's 1533-position model. Lineage: Bacteria; Pseudomonadati; Pseudomonadota; Alphaproteobacteria. The record is from RNAcentral.
UACGUAGGUGGCAAGCGUUGCUCGGAAUCACUGGGCGUAAAGCGCACGUAGGCGGAUCUUUAAGUCGGGGGUGAAAUCCCGGAGCUCAACUCCGGAACUGCCUUCGAUACUGGGGAUCUUGAGUCCGGGAGAGGUGAGUGGAACUGCGAGUGUAGAGGUGAAAUUCGUAGAUACUCGCAAGAACACCAGUGGCGAAGGCGGCUCACUGGCCCGGUACUGACGCUGAGGUGCGAAAGCGUGGGGAGCAAACAGG